RNAcentral lists this small nuclear RNA (22 nucleotides) under Arabidopsis thaliana (thale cress). RNAcentral describes it as "snRNA_08112". Lineage: Eukaryota; Viridiplantae; Streptophyta; Magnoliopsida; Brassicales; Brassicaceae. The record is from RNAcentral.
AGGAAAAAUAGCUACCUGUUAU